CUUGCCUCACACCGGCCCCUCCCACGCGGACAGAGGUCAGCCUGAGCCCCUUGCCUCACACCGGCCCCUCCCACGCGGACAGAGGUCAGCCUGAGCCCCUUGCCUCACACCGGCCCCUCCCACGCUGAGAGAGGUCAGUGUGAGCCCCUUGUCUCACACCGGCCCCUCCCACGCGGACAGAGGUCAGCGUAGAGAGGUCAGUGUGAGCCCUUGCCUCACACCGGCCCCUCCCACGCGGACAGAGGUCAGCGUGAGCCCCUUGCCUCACACCGGCCCCUCCCACGCUGAGAGAGGUCAGUGUGAGCCCUUGCCUCGAGCCUGGUAGCUCCAGGUCGCCCACACUUUCAGGUCUCUUGCACCAGAAGGUGGCAGGAUCCAUUGGGAGGAAACAGGCCACCUUGGAAGGCGUCCCUGGGCCCCCAUCCCCAGGGGUUGGGGCCGUAGGGGGCCCGCUCUGCUGCGUUGACCAGACUCCUGGGCUUUGAAGGCUCCUGGGCCCAGUAAGAAGGAGGUGGGUG
Molecule: long non-coding RNA, 518 nt
Filed under: Homo sapiens (human)
Lineage: Eukaryota; Metazoa; Chordata; Mammalia; Primates; Hominidae
Description: non-protein coding lnc-OR4F29-7:8
Source: RNAcentral